This 469-nucleotide ribosomal RNA is filed under the name uncultured bacterium. Its description in RNAcentral is "bacterial SSU rRNA". It matches the Rfam family "Bacterial small subunit ribosomal RNA", at positions 355 to 825 of the family's 1533-position model. The record is from RNAcentral.
UCGAGAAUCUUCGGCAAUGGACGCAAGUCUGACCGAGCGACGCCGCGUGCGGGAUGAAGGCCUUCGGGUUGUAAACCGCUGUCGUAGAGGAGGAAAUUCUGGUGGGUACUCCCAUCAGAUUGACUGAUUCUAGGAGGAAGGACCGGCUAAUCUCGUGCCAGCAGCCGCGGUAAUACGAGAGGUCCAAACGUUAUUCGGAAUUACUGGGCUUACAGAGUUCGUAGGCGGUUCUACAAGUGAGGUGUGAAAGCCCUCGGCUCAACCGAGGAACUGCGCUUCAAACUGUAGAACUAGAGGGAGAUAGAGGUGAGCAGAACUGAUGGUGGAGCGGUGAAAUGCGUUGAUAUCAUCAGGAAUACCGGAGGCGAAGGCGGGUUGCUGGGCUGAUACUGACGCUGAGGCGCGAAAGCUAGGGUAGCAAACAGGAUUAGAUACCCUCGUAGUCCCUGAGCGGGCUGGCAAGGCGCAU